UACGGAGGAUCCGAGCGUUAUCCGGAUUUAUUGGGUUUAAAGGGUGCGCAGGCGGGGGAUUAAGUCGGCGGUGAAAUUUUGCAGCUCAACUGUAAAAGUGCCUUCGAAACUGGUUUCCUUGAGUGUAGAUGAAGUAGGCGGAAUUUGUGGUGUAGCGGUGAAAUGCAUAGAUAUCACGAGGAACUCCGAUUGUGCAGGCAGCUUACUAAACUACUACUGACGCUCAGGCACGAAGGCGUGGGGAUCAAACAGGAUUAGAUACCCUGGUAGU
RNAcentral lists this ribosomal RNA (271 nucleotides) under uncultured prokaryote. RNAcentral describes it as "partial 16S ribosomal RNA". It matches the Rfam family "Bacterial small subunit ribosomal RNA", at positions 524 to 794 of the family's 1533-position model. The record is from RNAcentral.